This 628-nucleotide ribosomal RNA is filed under the name Nitrososphaerota archaeon. RNAcentral's name for it is "bacterial SSU rRNA". It matches the Rfam family "Archaeal small subunit ribosomal RNA", at positions 855 to 1478 of the family's 1478-position model. The record is from RNAcentral. Lineage: Archaea; Thermoproteati; Nitrososphaerota.
CUUAAAGGAAUUGGCGGGGGAGCACCACAAGGGGUGAAGCCUGCGGUUCAAUUGGAGUCAACGCCGGGAAUCUUACCGGGGGCGACAGCAGAGUGAAGGUCAAGCUGAAGACUUUACCAGACAAGCUGAGAGGAGGUGCAUGGCCGUCGCCAGCUCGUGCCGUGAGGUGUCCUGUUAAGUCAGGUAACGAGCAAGAUCCCUGCCACUAGUUGCUACCACCGUUCUCAGGAACGGAGGGGCUAAUUAGUGGGACCGCCGCUGUUAAAGCGGAGGAAGGAGGGGGCUACGGCAGGUCAGUAUGCCCCGAAACCCUCGGGCCACACGCGGGCUGCAAUGGUAAGGACAACGGGUUCCGAUCCCGAAAGGGGGAGGCAAUCCCACAAACCUUACCUCAGUUAUGAUUGAGGGCUGAAACUCGCCCUCAUGAAUAUGGAAUCCCUAGUAACCGCGUGUCACCAUCGCGCGGUGAAUACGUCCCUGCUCCUUGCACACACCGCCCGUCGCUUCACCGAAGCUGGUUCUUGGCGAGGUGGCGCCUAAUUGGCGCUAUCGAACCUGGGGUCAGCAACGGGGGAGAAGUCGUAACAAGGUAGUCGUAGGGGAACCUGCGGCUGGAUCACCUCCUUAG